GAGUUUGAUCCUGGCUCAGGAUGAACGCUGGCGGCGUGCUUAACACAUGCAAGUCGAACGGAGGAUGUACGGUGAAGAGAUUUCGGUCAAAUCAUGUGCAUCUUUAGUGGCGGACGGGUGAGUAACGCGUGGGUAACCUGCCUUAUACAGGGGGAUAACACUUAGAAAUAGGUGCUAAUACCGCAUAAGCGCACGGGGCUGCAUGGCCCAGUGUGAAAAACUCCGGUGGUAUAAGAUGGACCCGCGUCUGAUUAGCUUGUUGGUGAGGUAACGGCCCACCAAGGCGACGAUCAGUAGCCGGCCUGAGAGGGUGGACGGCCACAUUGGGACUGAGACACGGCCCAAACUCCUACGGGAGGCAGCAGUGGGGGAUAUUGGACAAUGGGGGGAACCCUGAUCCAGCGACGCCGCGUGAGUGAAGAAGUAUCUCGGUAUGUAAAGCUCUAUCAGCAGGGAAGAAGAAAUGACGGUACCUGAGUAAGAAGCCCCGGCUAACUACGUGCCAGCAGCCGCGGUAAUACGUAGGGGGCAAGCGUUAUCCGGAAUUACUGGGUGUAAAGGGAGCGUANACGGUGAUGUAAGUCUGGAGUGAAAGGCGGGGGCCCAACCCCCGGACUGCUCNGGANNCUANGUGACUGGAGUGCAGGAAAAGUGAGCCGGAUUCCUAAUGUAACGGUGAAAUG
RNAcentral lists this ribosomal RNA (683 nucleotides) under uncultured bacterium. Its description in RNAcentral is "bacterial SSU rRNA". It matches the Rfam family "Bacterial small subunit ribosomal RNA", at positions 9 to 688 of the family's 1533-position model. The record is from RNAcentral.